GAGAGAGGCUUGCCAGCAGCGGAGUCUGCUAACCUUCGCCCCCUUGGUUGAAAUCCAAGACUCACUCG
Molecule: transfer RNA, 68 nt
Filed under: Otolithes ruber
Lineage: Eukaryota; Metazoa; Chordata; Actinopteri; Sciaenidae
Description: tRNA-Ser
Source: RNAcentral